Molecule: long non-coding RNA, 328 nt
Filed under: Heterocephalus glaber (naked mole-rat)
Lineage: Eukaryota; Metazoa; Chordata; Mammalia; Rodentia; Bathyergidae
Description: lncRNA (ENSHGLG00000036597.1)
Source: RNAcentral
UCUUUCACGUUAAUGGUGCUCUUCCUCGAUAUAAUGGAGCAAUGAAAUGAGAAGCUUUGCUCUGCCCCAUGCUCCCAUCAUGAUGUGCUGCCUCACCAUAGGCCCCAAAGUAAUGGAGCCAGCUUACUAUUGACUGAGACCUCCAAAACCUCAAGCAGAUAAAAACCUUCUCUUAAAAUAAACCUAAGUAUCUACCAACUGAUGAAGAGAUAAAGAAAAUGUGCUACAUAUAUACACAAGAGAAUGCUAUUCAGUCAUUUGAAAAGAUUAAAGUUCAUCAUUCACUAUAACAUAGAAUGAGAUCACUAUACUACAUGAAGUAGGCCAG